RNAcentral lists this ribosomal RNA (324 nucleotides) under uncultured eukaryote. RNAcentral describes it as "partial 18S ribosomal RNA". It matches the Rfam family "Eukaryotic small subunit ribosomal RNA", at positions 1470 to 1796 of the family's 1831-position model. The record is from RNAcentral.
CCCUUAGAUGUUCUGGGCCGCACGCGCGCUACACUGAUGCAUUCAACAAGCCUAGCCUUGACCGAGAGGUCCGGGUAAUCUUUGAAACUGCAUCGUGAUGGGGCUAGAUUAUUGCAAUUAUUAAUCUUCAACGAGGAAUGCCUAGUAAGCGUGAUUCAUCAAAUCGCGUUGAUUACGUCCCUGCCCUUUGUACACACCGCCCGUCGCUCCUACCGAUUGAAUGGUCCGGUGAGGACUCGGGAUUGUGGUUUAGCUCCUUCAUUGGGGCCUGACUGCGAGAACUUGUCCGAACCUUAUCAUUUAGAGGAAGGUGAAGUCGUAACA